UUUACCCAGUUGGAAGCAUCCUUCUUCAACCGUGUGCUUCUCCUUAGUGGUGCUUCAGCCGGGACAUUAUCCCUUGAUGAGACUGGUUCUUGCUGUUCUUCUUGCUGUUGCACAUUGUCUUCCUCUUCUUGUAAACUUUCUCCAGGUUCUGGUUCACCCAUUGCCACAUUGUCUUCCUCUUCUUGUAAACUUUCUCCAGGUUCUGGUUCACCCAUUGCCUCAACCCCUUCAUCUUGCAUCAUCACACACUGAUCAGGGUCUCUCAAGCCUUCUUCUGGAUGGCUUGCUUCUUCAGUUUCAUUCCCCCUCUCAUG
RNAcentral lists this long non-coding RNA (314 nucleotides) under Brassica napus (rape). Its description in RNAcentral is "long non-coding RNA (BNAP_LNC021066)". The record is from RNAcentral. Lineage: Eukaryota; Viridiplantae; Streptophyta; Magnoliopsida; Brassicales; Brassicaceae.